Myodes glareolus (Bank vole) is the source of this 594-nucleotide non-coding RNA. Lineage: Eukaryota; Metazoa; Chordata; Mammalia; Rodentia; Cricetidae. The record is from RefSeq and is a predicted model, not a curated record.
ACUGCUGGGUGUGGGACUAGAGUGAUAAAGCAAAGACUCCCCAGCCACUAGGGUGAGAAGGGGUGGAACCUGAUUCUUCUCCCCAGGACUUCAGGUUCUUUGCUUUUCUGCAACCAAUUCUGUAGAUUCACUGCGUUCACUCUCUUACAAAUCAAUGUCACGAGUGAAGACAACAGAUGUGCCAUUAUCUCAGGAAUUGCGGUUCUUUCUGAAAAAUGUGCUGUAUACCAACGCUAUAUCUGCCAAAAGAAGCUGAAACCUUUCUAAAAUCCCGUGCCCUAACUCCCGGUUGUGAAUGUCAUCUCUGUUCCCUUACACUUCACCCCAAAUCUCUGCAUACUAUUUGUCAAUGGUGUGGGCCUUUCCUGUGCAUGGUUAGUGGCAUUCUGAGAGAGGUGUUCUAUAGAAGGAAACCCAGACCAGUAGACAGCACUGGAGGCCUUAUGUAGCAUUUGCUGAAUUCUCUGCUUGAGUUCAUCUGCAAACAGCUGCAGAAAACUGUUUUCAAUGUUCUCAUCUUUACCUCUACCCAACUUCAAGCUAUCUGACAUCUCGGCUAUAGAACCAUAAUUAAAAUCCUUGCUUUUGCCUUGA